RNAcentral lists this small nucleolar RNA (137 nucleotides) under Chelonia mydas (Green sea turtle). Its description in RNAcentral is "Small nucleolar RNA SNORA5". It matches the Rfam family "Small nucleolar RNA SNORA5". Rfam says of the family: ACA5 is a member of the H/ACA class of snoRNA that guide the sites of modification of uridines to pseudouridines. Lineage: Eukaryota; Metazoa; Chordata; Testudines; Cheloniidae. The record is from Rfam by way of RNAcentral.
UGCAGCCAUGUCAAAUUCAGUACUUGUCUUCUCCCUGGUGGGUACUGGCCCAUCCAGCUGCCACAGCAACACCUGUAGUUCAUGGGCCCCACAUCCCACUCAUGGACCCUGGGGAUAAAACCGUGCUACAGACACCC